RNAcentral lists this ribosomal RNA (253 nucleotides) under uncultured bacterium. RNAcentral describes it as "partial 16S ribosomal RNA". It matches the Rfam family "Bacterial small subunit ribosomal RNA", at positions 524 to 776 of the family's 1533-position model. The record is from RNAcentral.
UACAGAGGUCUCAAGCGUUGUUCGGAUUCACUGGGCGUAAAGGGUGCGUAGGUGGCAUAGAAAGUUUGAUGUGAAAGCUCAGGGCUUAACCCUGAAAUGGCAUUGAAUACUGCUGUGCUGGAGGUUUGGAGGGGGGACUGGAAUUCUUGGUGUAGCAGUGAAAUGCGUAGAUAUCAAGAGGAACACCAGUGGCGAAGGCGAGUCCCUGGACAACACCUGACACUGAGGCACGAAAGCUAGGGGAGCAAACAGG